Taeniopygia guttata (zebra finch) is the source of this 1081-nucleotide non-coding RNA. NCBI's taxonomy places the organism in Eukaryota, Metazoa, Chordata, Aves, Passeriformes, Estrildidae. The record is from RefSeq and is a predicted model, not a curated record.
CGCGCUCUGACCGGAAGGCGGAAGCGGCGGAGCCGAGCCCGGUGGCGGCGGAGGCGCGGCGGUUCCGGGGCGAUGGCGGCGGGCGGCAGCCUGAGCCGCUCCGAGCGGAAAGCGGCGGCGCGCGCCGAGAUCCUGCAGCAGGAGGAGCAGCGGGACCGCCGGAGACAGGUAUCCCGCAUCUGGAGGAAGCCGCCGGCGGAGCGGAGCCCCGAGGAGUGCCAGGUGCUGAGUGAGAGCGAGGACAUCGUCAGGGAGCUGGAGCGGCGCCGCAAGCGGCGCGAGCGGCUGCGGCGGCGGCAGGAGGAGGUGUGCGAUGAGCCAGAGGAGCUGAAGAGGAAGGUGGCUGAGCUGGCAGCAGCAGUGCGGAGCGCCAGGCACCUCGUCAUCUACACGGGCGCUGGGAUCAGCACGGCAGCUUCGAUCCCAGACUACAGAGGCCCCAAUGGCAUUUGGACACUGCUACAGAAGGGCAGGAGCAUCAGGGCUGCAGACCUGAGUGAGGCAGAGCCUACACUCACUCAUAUGAGCAUUGCCUGCCUGCACAAGCACAACCUGGUGCAGCAUGUGGUGUCUCAGAACUGUGAUGGGCUGCACCUGCGGAGCGGGUUACCCCGAGCUGCAAUAUCUGAGCUUCACGGGAACAUGUACAUAGAGGUCUGCACUUCCUGCACACCCAACAGAGAGUAUGUGCGAGUGUUUGACGUGACGGAGCGCACAGCCCUGCACAGGCACCACACGGGCAGGAUGUGCCACAAGUGUGGGUCACAGUUGAGAGAUACAAUCGUCCACUUUGGGGAGAAGGGGACAUUGAGACAGCCCCUGAACUGGGAAGCAGCAACAGAAGCUGCAAGCAAAGCAGAUGUGAUUCUUUGUCUGGGUUCCAGCUUAAAGGUAACUUUAGAGACUCGGUGAAGAUUGUUAGCAGCAUUCCCUCUUGGUGAUACACCUUGGUGCUGAGCAGUCUCCUCCCAAACAGACAACUGUAAACUCUGGUGUCAGGAUUCGCCCAACAUCUGUGAUAGUCUCUCUUCCUCCCUCUUUCCCCUCCUGGUUUUGAAAAAAUACCCGCGGCUCUGGUGCA